Molecule: transfer RNA, 62 nt
Filed under: Macrocheraia grandis grandis
Lineage: Eukaryota; Metazoa; Arthropoda; Insecta; Hemiptera; Largidae
Also listed under: 1 other name
Description: tRNA-Pro
Source: RNAcentral
CAGUGAAUAGUUUAUUAAAAUAUUAAUUUUGGAGAUUAAAGAUAUAUCUAUUAUUUUGCUGA